AAGCGGUAGCGGCGAUGGCCCGAAACGAGAAGCGGAAGCGGGAGCGGGAGCGGGCCCUGUCAAACCCUCCAAACCCUACCCUUCCCAUCUCCAGGCGCCUCCGCCGCCCCCUCCCCCUCGCUCCGGCGACCCCCGCGGCGGCGGAGGGGGUCGGCGGCGGCGGCGCCUCCUCCUCCUCCGCCGGCGCGCCGUCGGCCGCCGCCGCCUCCUCCUCCGCCGGCGCGCCGUCGGUGGUGAUCGUCACGGGGAUCCCCGGCGACUGCACGGUGCUGGAGCUCAAGUCCCGCCUCGAGAUCUACGGGCCCGUCGCCCGCACCCGCGUCGACGCCGCCGAUGGCGUGGGGUACGUCAC
This 352-nucleotide long non-coding RNA is filed under the name Ananas comosus (pineapple). RNAcentral describes it as "long non-coding RNA (ACOM_LNC006770)". The record is from RNAcentral. Lineage: Eukaryota; Viridiplantae; Streptophyta; Magnoliopsida; Poales; Bromeliaceae.